CGCCUAACAGCUAGCCCCCCUAACAACCCUAACAAAACCAUAUUAAUAACCCCUAACGUAUUUCAGACACUAAACAAAUCAUUUUAUUUCCCCAGUAUAGGCGAUAAAAAAGGAACCAGGAGCAAUAGAGAUAGUACCGCGAGGGAAAGCUGAAAAAGAAGUGAAACAAAUCAGUCAAGCUAGAAAUAGCAGAGAUUUUUCCUUGUACCUUUUGCAUCAUGAUUUAGUCAGUGUCCCUCAAGCGAAGAGCACUUUAGUUUGUUUACCCGAAACUAUGUGAGCUACUCCAAGACAGCCUAUAAAUUAGGGCGAACCCGUCUCUGUGGCAAAAGAGUGGAAAGAGCUUUGAGUAGAGGUGAUAAACCUACCGAACUUAGUUAUAGCUGGUUACCCAAGAAGUGAAUAGAAGUUCAGCCUCCCGGCUUCUUAAUUCCCAUAAUAAACCUUAUCUAUAGACCAAAAAGAAACCGAGAAAGUUAGUCAAAGGAGGUACAGCUCCUUUGAAACAAGAUACAACUUUUUUAGAAGGGUAAAGAUCAUA
This 541-nucleotide ribosomal RNA is filed under the name Diplectrum formosum (sand perch). RNAcentral describes it as "partial 16S large subunit ribosomal RNA". The stretch from base 173 to 541 matches the Rfam family "Bacterial large subunit ribosomal RNA", at positions 569 to 1050 of the family's 2925-position model. Lineage: Eukaryota; Metazoa; Chordata; Actinopteri; Perciformes; Serranidae. The record is from RNAcentral.